GGGGAUGUAAAGGUUUCGACGGGGAUUGUGAGCAAAGGUAAGCGAGUAGUGGAGGCGGAUACACUUUAAACUUCGCACGUUUCAAAAUAAACGACAAAACUCAAAAAACCAAUAACGUUAUUUCCUUUAAUAGGAGCGUAGCGUUAGCAGCUUAAUUACAGCUGCCGUCCUUAACCGUGAGUACCGCGGCUCGGAUAGGGGCGUAACCUAAGCGGUGAACGUGAACCGGAAACCGCCUCGUUUUCGGUCAUGAUUAAGAGGCUACUGAAGCGCUGAGCCCGCCAUUUGGCGCGGCGCAGAGGGAAUUUUAAUAAGAUGGCUACACUCGUAGAAGGCUUUUGUAAGCGGUUUUCGGACAGGAGUUCGACUCUCCUCAUCUCCACCA
Molecule: non-coding RNA, 385 nt
Rfam family: transfer-messenger RNA
About the family: Bacterial tmRNA, also known as 10Sa RNA or SsrA, is named for its dual tRNA and mRNA-like properties. Its role is to liberate the mRNA from a stalled ribosome. To accomplish this part of the tmRNA is used as a reading frame that ends in a translation stop signal.
Source: Rfam